UGCAGUCGAGCGGGGGACUUGGCUUGCUACUGGACCUAGCGGCGGACGGGUGAGUAAUACUUAGGAAUCUGCCUAUUAGUGGGGGACAACGUUCCGAAAGGAGCGCUAAUACCGCAUACGCCCUACGGGGGAAAGCAGGGGAUCUUCGGACCUUGCGCUAAUAGAUGAGCCUAAGUCGGAUUAGCUAGUUGGUGGGGUAAAGGCCUACCAAGGCGACGAUCUGUAGCGGGUUUGAGAGGAUGAUCCGCCACACUGGGACUGAGACACGGCCCAGACUCCUACGGGAGGCAGCAGUGGGGAAUAUUGGACAAUGGGCGCAAGCCUGAUCCAGCCAUGCCGCGUGUGUGAAGAAGGCCUUAUGGUUGUAAAGCACUUUAAGCGAGGAGGAGGCUUACCUAGUUAAUACCUAGGAUAAGUGGACGUUACUCGCAGAAUAAGCACCGGCUAACUCUGUGCCAGCAGCCGCGGUAAUACAGAGGGUGCAAGCGUUAAUCGGAAUUACUGGGCGUAAAGCGCGCGUAGGUGGCCAUUUAAGUCAAAUGUGAAAUCCCCGAGCUUAACUUGGGAAUUGCAUUCGAUACUGGAUGGCUAGAGUAUAGGAGAGGAAGGUAGAAUUCCAGGUGUAGCGGUGAAAUGCGUAGAGAUCUGGAGGAAUACCGAUGGCGAAGG
RNAcentral lists this ribosomal RNA (669 nucleotides) under uncultured Acinetobacter sp. RNAcentral describes it as "bacterial SSU rRNA". It matches the Rfam family "Bacterial small subunit ribosomal RNA", at positions 56 to 721 of the family's 1533-position model. Lineage: Bacteria; Pseudomonadati; Pseudomonadota; Gammaproteobacteria; Moraxellales; Moraxellaceae. The record is from RNAcentral.